This 1100-nucleotide long non-coding RNA is filed under the name Apteryx owenii (little spotted kiwi). Its description in RNAcentral is "lncRNA (ENSAOWG00000015364.1)". Lineage: Eukaryota; Metazoa; Chordata; Aves; Apterygiformes; Apterygidae. The record is from RNAcentral.
CCGGGGUUUCCCCCUCGGGGCUGAGGCGGGCGCCAUGGUUUGCGGUCGCAGACGCGCGUGGCCUGCGCGGGCGCGGCCCCCUCGGCGGGUGUCUGCCGGCUCCGGGGUCAGCGAGGAGCCCGAGCGGCUUGUCCCUUCCAGCCCGGUUUUGUUCGUGUGUCCCCAAACUGUUCCRAAUGCGGCGUGCCUUAGUGUCGGUGACGAGGGUUGCCCCUGUCCCCUGUCCCUCGAACCCGCAAAUAAAACUCUUUUUCAGUUCAUAGCAUGGAAAAUGUGUGAUGUGAUGAAGGAUGGUCUGAAGACCCCUGGUAAAAGAUAGUGCCUGCCACACUAGUUUGUCAACUGCCUGUGUGCUCCCAAGAUAUCGCUGUGGGAGAGAGCUACUAGGACUGAUGUAUUGUCCCAAGAUCAACAGCCUGCUUCUGGCAACCUCUUUUCGGGUGAAAACCCUAGAACACGCAGGGAAUCAGUCACCUGCAUGCCUUUGUCCUGUAGCUCUUCCACGGUAAACCCAGUGCUUCCUGGAACUGCUGAGGCUCAAGUCUGGGUGAAGUAGAAGUGUUUUGCCUGUGUGCAGUAGGGCUGGCCACGUGGUGAAACAGCCCAUGGCGUGGAGGAGUUCUUUGGUCCUGAGAUUUACAUAGUAUGUGUCACUAGCUUGAUGUGCUUCUUAAUCCAGUUAUGUGUCCAAAUGAAGAAAACCUGAUGGCAGGAAAAGAAGGAAGUUAAACAGCGGAUGAUAUAUAUGUUGAAGUGUAAUGUUCUGGCUCAUAAUGAUAUCCGCAUCAGGUGGUGAAUAUCUCAGCAGAAAUGUCUUUUGUACUCUGGAUUUCUCUGGUCUCUUUCAUUAAUCUUGCUGUCACGAUCCUUGGUUUGUGAGCUUUUAACUUAAAAUCCAUGCGUUGUGGUUUCAUCUUUAUGAACAGUUCUACUUAAGUUUGAGAUUCAGGUUCAUCUUCAUUUGACGAUUGUUCUAUCAAUACAUAUUGAAAGAGUUUUAUUUUACUGUUCAAUAAGUGUUAGUAUCUUAGGGUUCUGUAAAGCUUUUACUAGUAGUGGAAAAAAAUAAAGUAACGGCACAAGAUAGUGUGUUGAUAAAA